This 162-nucleotide small nuclear RNA is filed under the name Gorilla gorilla gorilla (western lowland gorilla). RNAcentral describes it as "U2 spliceosomal RNA". It matches the Rfam family "U2 spliceosomal RNA". From Rfam's summary of the family: U2 is a small nuclear RNA (snRNA) component of the spliceosome (involved in pre-mRNA splicing). Complementary binding between U2 snRNA (in an area lying towards the 5' end but 3' to hairpin I) and the branchpoint sequence (BPS) of the intron results the bulging out of an unpaired adenosine, on the BPS, which initiates a nucleophilic attack at the intronic 5' splice site, thus starting the first of two transesterification reactions that mediate splicing. The record is from Rfam by way of RNAcentral. Lineage: Eukaryota; Metazoa; Chordata; Mammalia; Primates; Hominidae.
AUAAUUUAUUGGCCUUUUGGCUAAGAUCAGGUAUAGCAUCUGUUCUCAUCAGUUUAAUAAACUAUUUUUGUUAUUACUUUAUUUUCCUAAUCAGCCUUGCUAAAGACUGUUCUAUUAUACCAUCCUUUCUAGAGAAUUUAUCCUUGGUUUGGAUGACACUCA